UCCGAGUUGUCCCCGGCAGUCUCCUACGAGUCCCCACCAUUACGUGCUGGCAACAUAGGACGAGGGUUGCGCUCGUUGCGGGACUUAACCCAACAUCUCACGACACGAGCUGACGACAACCAUGCACCACCUGUGCAGGACCCUUGCGGACCUCCCAUCUCUGGGAGAUUUCCCUGCACGUCAAGCCCUGGUAAGGUUCUUCGCGUCGCAUCGAAUUAAACCACAUGCUCCGCCGCUUGUGCGGGUCCCCGUCAAUUCCUUUGAGUUUUAGCCUUGCGGCCGUACUCCCCAGGCGGAGUGCUUAAUGCGUUAGCUGCGGCACAGAGAGGGUUGAAGACCUCCCCACACCUAGCACUCAACGUUUACGGCUGGGACUAC
This 378-nucleotide unclassified non-coding RNA is filed under the name uncultured Actinomycetes bacterium. Its description in RNAcentral is "uncultured actinobacterium contains 16S-23S intergenic spacer region". The record is from RNAcentral. Lineage: Bacteria; Bacillati; Actinomycetota; Actinomycetes.